This 486-nucleotide ribosomal RNA is filed under the name uncultured bacterium. RNAcentral describes it as "partial 16S ribosomal RNA". It matches the Rfam family "Bacterial small subunit ribosomal RNA", at positions 30 to 507 of the family's 1533-position model. The record is from RNAcentral.
AUUGAACGCUGGCGGCAUGCCUUACACAUGCAAGUCGAACGGCAGCACGGGUGCUUGCACCUGGUGGCGAGUGGCGAACGGGUGAGUAAUACAUCGGAACAUGUCCUGUAGUGGGGGAUAGCCCGGCGAAAGCCGGAUUAAUACCGCAUACGAUCUACGGAUGAAAGCGGGGGACCUUCGGGCCUCGCGCUAUAGGGUUGGCCGAUGGCUGAUUAGCUAGUUGGUGGGGUAAAGGCCUACCAAGGCGACGAUCAGUAGCUGGUCUGAGAGGACGACCAGCCACACUGGGACUGAGACACGGCCCAGACUCCUACGGGAGGCUGCAGUGGGGAAUUUUGGACAAAGGGCGAAAGCCUGAUCCAGCAAUGCCGCGUGUGUGAAGAAGGCCUUCGGGUUGUAAAGCACUUUUGUCCGGAAAGAAAUCCUUGGCCCUAAUACGGUCGGGGGAUGACGGUACCGGAAGAAUAAGCACCGGCUAACUACGUG